Molecule: ribosomal RNA, 366 nt
Filed under: Klebsiella ornithinolytica
Lineage: Bacteria; Pseudomonadati; Pseudomonadota; Gammaproteobacteria; Enterobacterales; Enterobacteriaceae
Description: Raoultella ornithinolytica partial 23S ribosomal RNA
Rfam family: Bacterial large subunit ribosomal RNA
Source: RNAcentral
GGGGAGUUGACCUUGAAAUACCACCCUUUAAUAGUUAAUUUUCUAAUCUAGUACCGUUAUCCGGUAUGGAAACAGUGUCUGGUGGGUAGUUUGACUGGGGCGGUCUCCUCCCAAAGAGUAACGGAGGAGUACAAAGAUUGGCUAAUUACGGUUGGAAAUCGUAAGGUUAGUGCAAAGGCAUAAGCCAGUUUAACUGUGAGCGUGAUAACGCGAACAGAUGCGAAAGCAGGUCUUAGUGAUCCGGUGGUUUCUGUAUGGAAAGGCCAUCGCUCAACAAAUAAAAGGUACUCCGGGGAUAACAGGCUGAUACCGCCCAAGAGUUCAUAUCGACGGCGGUGUUUGGCACCUCGAUGUCGGCUCAUCACA